UUCGCAAAAUUAUAAAUCUCUAUGAUUAACAACAAAAUUUCAAGCUGAAACAAACGAAAUCACAAAAAUAUCAAAUCCAGAUCCGUCAAAACAAAAACCAAAUAUCACUGUGAUUUUUCCGUUCUAAGCUAAAAUGAAAACAAAAGUAUACAUUCAACAUACUUGUAUUCAUCUACGAACCGAUCUGCCGGAAUUUCGCGUCGCCGCCGUGGAAGGAAAAAAAAAUUGUUCUUCAUCGACUCUGCUACCGGUCCACCAUAUCGGUCGGUUCAUAGUGGCACCGCCGGCGGUGUUAGGAGGUGAAAUAGAAGAUUGGUUGAAGAGCGAGAUAGAGGAAGAUGAAGCAAAAGCUGGAUGUUGCUAAGAAUAUCAAUCCGUAGAUAGUUCGAAUCGCCAUGGAAGAGAGAGAUAUUGAGAUUUAGAUCUGGAGAGAGUGGAGUGGAUCUUG
Molecule: unclassified non-coding RNA, 448 nt
Filed under: Hevea brasiliensis (rubber tree)
Lineage: Eukaryota; Viridiplantae; Streptophyta; Magnoliopsida; Malpighiales; Euphorbiaceae
Source: RNAcentral